CCUACGUGAGGCAGCAGUGGGGAAUAUUGCACAAUGGGCGAAAGCCUGAUGCAGCAACGCCGCGUGAAGGAAGAAGGGUUUCGGCUCGUAAACUUCUAUCAACAGGGACGAAAGACAUGACGGUACCUGAAUAAGAAGCCCCGGCUAACUACGUGACAGCAGCCGCGGUAAUACGUAGGGGGCGAGCGUUAUCCGGAUUCACUGGGUGUAAAGGGAGCGUAGACGGCCAUGCAAGCCAGGGGUGAAAGCCCGGGGCCCAACCCCGGGACUGCCCUUGGAACUGUGAGGCUAGAGUGCGGGAGGGGCAGGCGGAAUUCCUGGGGUAGCGGUGAAAUGCGUAGAUAUCAGGAGGAACACCGGCGGCGAAGGCGGCCUGCUGGACUGCGACUGACGUUGAGGCUCGAAAGCGUGGGGAGCGAACAGGAUUAGAUACCCGAGUAGUC
Molecule: ribosomal RNA, 443 nt
Filed under: uncultured bacterium
Lineage: Bacteria
Description: partial 16S ribosomal RNA
Rfam family: Bacterial small subunit ribosomal RNA
Source: RNAcentral